CUCUCUGAUACAUUGGCGAAGGGUUUGAUUUCUUUGGAUGUUUCUUUCUAAGGCUGAGAUAUGAUGUAUUUGGAACUAAUUGUCUUAUAAAUUUGCAUGAUUUGCAUGAUUGUUUCAUUUAUUUCUUCGUUUAGAUUCAUUGGAGGUUGCCAAUCUCUAAAGCCCCAACAUGAUUUUUUACAAUCUAGAUCUCCCUCCC
This 199-nucleotide long non-coding RNA is filed under the name Elaeis guineensis (African oil palm). RNAcentral describes it as "long non-coding RNA (EGUI_LNC031218)". The record is from RNAcentral. Lineage: Eukaryota; Viridiplantae; Streptophyta; Magnoliopsida; Arecales; Arecaceae.